Molecule: long non-coding RNA, 1466 nt
Filed under: Marmota monax (woodchuck)
Lineage: Eukaryota; Metazoa; Chordata; Mammalia; Rodentia; Sciuridae
Source: RNAcentral
AUCCCUUCUUCUCCAAAUGCUUUGCUUAUUUUUGGAGGCUAAUGUGAAAUUUAUACCAAAACUCAACAGAAGUUAAUCAGGCAAAUAUGGUGUGAAUAGUAAACCAAAAUUAGCAAGUUAAAUUGAUUUAAAUAUCAAUAGGUGAAUACGUCAUAGCAGAAAUGUAUUUGCUCAGGUGGGUGUGGUGGUAAUUUUCAUUGGCCUAUAAUCCCAGUGGCUCCGGAGGCUGAGGCAGGAGGAUUGCAAGUUCAAAGCCAGCCCCAGCAACUUAGUGAGGCCCUAAAGAACUUAGCAAGACUCUAUGUCUAAAUGUAAUAUAAAAAAAGGCUGGAGGAGCGGCUCACUGGUUAAGGACCCAGGGGUUCAAUCCCCAGGUACUGAAAGAAAAAUGUUUUUGCUCAGUCUUAUCAGGCACACUUCAGGUGCUCAAAAGCGACCUGCGGUCAGUGGCCACAGCACUGGACAGCAGAGAGAACAUGGCCAUCAUUGUAAAAAGCACUACUAGACACUCUAUACAUGAGAAUCAUGGAGCUAUGGAGCAAAACAGUAAAACUCACACAGAGCAAAAAUGGGGAAAAGGCAUUCUCUGACAAUAGACCAAAGAGAAAAUCAAAAUCAGUAUUGCAGAAUACCUAGAAGAAAAUGUAUCAAGCAACAAUAGAAUACAGUAAUCUCCACUGCUAAAGAAACGUCAGUCAUUGGCAGUAGUGGUGAGACCCGGAAGUCUACGCGUGAAUCCUCAGAGCGAGGCAGAGUCCCACAGGGGCCAUUGCUCUGCAAGUGCCAGGAAAGGUACCUGGACAGGAAAUGAAGGUGCAGUAUAAAUAAGAGCCACGAAAAGACGGGACUGUCAACUUUCACAGACAAUAUGAUCAUCUACCUAAAAAACCCAAGAAUUUACAGAAAAAUCUUAGAAUUCAUAACCAAGUUGUUUGAAUUAGCAGACACAGCUCUGCAUACUAAUCAGGAUCUUAUAAUGAAUCAACAAGUAGAAUUCGAUCCCUGUCUCACACCAUACACAAAGCCAUUCCAGAUGGGGUCACAUGAUUUUGAGAUGAUUUAAAUAUAAAUUAUUUUGCAUUGAAAUUUUCCAUGGUUAAUUUUUUAGGUCAUUGAUUUUCAUAAAUUAAUUUUACAUCAACUUGGGGUGAUUUGCAAGUCUGGACCUUUGUGUUUGCCACAACUGGGUGAGGGCAAGGGUGCUCCUGGUGUCUACUGCAUGAAGCCAGGGGUGUGCUAGGCACCCUACCAUGUACAGGGCAUCCCCCUCUCCCCCACAACCAAGUACUGUCCAGUUCCAAUGGCAACAAUGCUGAAUUAAAAACUCUGCUGUAACCUGACACUUGAAUGGGUUAUUGUGUUGCCUCUAGUCAUUUUCCCAGUUAACUUUGAAUUUUCUAGGUAUAUAAUCAUACCAAUUGCACAUAAUAUAAAAGUAUAUACAUACUAAUUGCAUAGAAUAAUCC